This 2861-nucleotide long non-coding RNA is filed under the name Bemisia tabaci. RNAcentral's name for it is "lncRNA ENSSSA3NGG013923". The record is from RNAcentral. Lineage: Eukaryota; Metazoa; Arthropoda; Insecta; Hemiptera; Aleyrodidae.
AACGAAUUCAACAGUGUGAAAUUCAGUUAAACUGAGUCUAGUUUAAAUUUUUCCGACUUGUACAACUCGUAUGAUGCUCAGUUUUUAAUUUGGUUCGAAAAAUACGAAAUCCAAAAGAAUAAAAUGAGCAUUGUUCUCCUCAAUCGCGUUAUCCUCCGACUAAAAAAUACAUCGAAAUUCGCCGCUAAUUGGCUAUCAUCAAACGGUAAAACGGAUUGAGACAGUAUGGGUUUUUACGCGCGGUUUUCCCGCUCUUAGCUUUAUGUUAAGAUUUAUCCUAUGAUUUAGUUUUUAUAUCAUCAUAAUAAAUUGAGUCUCCUAUUACAACAGGUGAAUGGAUACGUCGUUUUUGGGAUUCCCCGUUCGCUUGAUAGCAUAGUAUAAAACUCCUCUCAGACGCUUAGAAAGCUCAAACGUGUGCCCUUCAACAAGCGCGACGCUGAUAUUAUCAUUGUGAGUACUUCGAAUUUAUUUCUAUUCGAGUAUAUUUUAGUGAUUACCGUUAAAAGCGUGCUUACUGUUAUUCUAAGUUGGUAACUACACCACAUUUUUUGAUAAGGAACUACUAUUUUUGACUUUUUUCUGAAACAAUACAUGUGCCAUAAGUAUCCCAACGUAGAUAGGUGUUUUUCAGGUGUUUUUUCAAAUACGCCAGACAAGUGGUUUCUGUGCUUAAAAUGUACUCUUAAAUGCAAAGUUUUAAUAACAUUUCCAUAAUCCGACAAAUAGAUUUCAGAAUUCCUCGCGAUAUGCAUGCUUUCCUGAACAUCUACAACAAAAAGUACAAAAAUUCAUGGAGGCAAUUUCUUCUUGAGAAAGUGAUUUUUCUCGAGUAAGGUCGGAAAUUCGGAAUUUGAGCCCUCGAUGGUAAAUACGCGAUCGAUGCCAAAAAUCAAAAUUCGCUUUCGUUCAUUUUUUUGCCAGUGUAAGACGUAAAGAUGAACCAUCAAUCCACUUUCCCUCACACUCGGCAAGUUAAAUCAUACAAUUCGUUGUUUCCUGCACGAAAGAGCGUAAUUCAGUUUCAAUUUUGCCAAAUUUCCUCGCGAAAAUUGCUUUUACUGGGAGAAUCUCGGGAAUUUUUAGCUGAAAAUUAUACCGAUUUUUCCACCGAUCUCAUAAACAAAUUAGACAAAUUUUCAAUGAAAAUUGCGCAGGUUUAUUUUUGUGAAAAAUUAGAUUGUUUGAGUCAACUUUGUAACCUUGGAAUGGAGUUAGUUCCUAAGUCCAGGAGACGACAAAUUGCCUCACCCAAGGGACUCCUUCGGUUGAACUCAAAUUUCAAAGCAACAGAAGGGUCGACUUACAAAUCACGUUACACUAAAACUUGGAGCUUCGUACCAUCUCCUCCACCCUUCCUUAUCACUCAAGAUUUUACAUAUUUGAGAUGGAGGUUGAUCCCAGCUUAAAAUCAAUCGCACCAUGCAAAGGCUGUUCGUGUUUUUCCUCCUGGUUGUCAUGACCGCCUCCAUGCUCUUCAUUCACGCAGAUGCAUGCAUCAACCAGUGGUCAAGAUGCAAGCCCGACGGAAGCAUAGGAAACUGCUGCAGCGGAAAUUGCUUCAGGAGAGGUCCGACUGGGAAUUCGGUAUCUGUAAUAAACAGGGACAUUCUUGAAUCUACCGAGUUGGCACAAUUGAUUUCUCUUGUUUGAACCUUUGCAAAAAUGUGAAUGAAGUAAGAAAGUCGUAAUGUAAAUGGCAGAACUGGUGCCAUGUUCUGGUGGACGAGUUCCGAUCCCGAUGUGCGCCGGUAACUUUCUUUAUACAUUUUCGAUCCAAAAUGGCGAAAGAAAAUACCUGAUAAUUCCGAUCCGCUUUAUUUAAAUCAGAGGGCCAGCUCCCCGUUACUUGCAAAUAAUCGAUUGUAUCGAAAAAGUGACCCGGCGUGACACAGGAGUCUCCGCAUUCGGGGCCUGGAAAAUGCUUUAAAGGGGCGCUAGCUCUCCUAUUUACAUUACGACUUAUAAACUCUGUGCAAAUGUGUCGAAUCUCAAAGUCAGAAUCGACUAUUCACCACAGGUUUAGAUGGAGAAUACCCAGUGUUGCCAACCUACUAUAUCUGACUCUAACCGGGAUGUCGACAAAACUAAGCCCAACGAAUCUCCUCUUUUUCACAUUUUGUGCUCAUCGUUUUACACGAUGCGCUUCCGAUAGGUAGGAUCCACAUCCCAUCUCCGGAUAAAAUCGAUCACAGGAAAUUUAAUUGAUCGAAUUCCAAAAUCCAAACGAAUUUUCUCACCUAUCUAAAAUUGCAAAUCAUGCUUGAAUUUAAAUUGUAUUCCUCGGUGCAAUUCUCAGACCUUUUGUAAUUCUCCUUCAUUGAGAAGAGGUUCUAAGAAAAUUUAAAUUAAUUAUAGUAUAUUUAGUUCUCUAGAAGAAAUAAAGGAAAAACAUGUGAUAAGGCGAACAUUUUGAAGCAUCGGAUUUAAGAUAAAAGUCCCAGGGUUGACCAAUGAUGUCAAUCAUUUCGAUGUUACGUCUCGUGGCGUCAAUUUUCCGUCCAUUGACAUUUACGUUUUGCACAAGCGGAGAUUGAACGCGGAACGCUUGACAAUAAUGCAGGUUUUUGCAAAUAGCAACCUCAUGAUUUUCCUAAUUGUAAUUCAGUCGUAAAAAUAAAAUAAAAAGUGAAAUGAAAAAAAAUAAAUAUUAAGUACAAUGUAAAAUAAAUAAUUCUAUGAAAAUAAAUUUAACUUGAAAUUAUUUAAAGAUUUGAGUGUUUUUUUUUCUUUUUAAAAUUCAUGUAUAUAAUGAAACUUACGAAGCUCCACCUUCGUUUGUGCGCUGUUUGUACUACAAAAGACACCAUUUCGAUAGGUAAUCGAACUUUCAUUCAGCAAAAAGGAACCAGUGCGAUUAC